AUGCUCAUUUUGCAACACAGAUACUAAUAUUGUAAAGAUACAGAGAAGAUUAGCAUGGCUCCUAGGCAAGGAUGAUAUGCAGAUUCAUGAAAUAUUUCAUAUUUAA
Molecule: small nuclear RNA, 106 nt
Organism: Cercocebus atys (sooty mangabey)
Lineage: Eukaryota; Metazoa; Chordata; Mammalia; Primates; Cercopithecidae
Source: Ensembl